Pipistrellus kuhlii (Kuhl's pipistrelle) is the source of this 133-nucleotide small nucleolar RNA. NCBI's taxonomy places the organism in Eukaryota, Metazoa, Chordata, Mammalia, Chiroptera, Vespertilionidae. The record is from RefSeq and is a predicted model, not a curated record.
GUGCAAACGCGAUCCCUAACUCUGCAUGAUGCUGCAGAGGCGAAGGGAACCAGGUUUGCUAACGUAAUUGUGGUGAUAGAAACGUAUGAGCCUCAGAAGCUCCUGAGGCGGUUCAUUCUAUCCUAGUACAACG